This 253-nucleotide ribosomal RNA is filed under the name uncultured bacterium. Its description in RNAcentral is "partial 16S ribosomal RNA". It matches the Rfam family "Bacterial small subunit ribosomal RNA", at positions 524 to 776 of the family's 1533-position model. The record is from RNAcentral.
UACAGAGGUCUCAAGCGUUGUUCGGAUUCAUUGGGCGUAAAGGGUGCGUAGGCGGCGGUGCAAGUCCGAUGUGAAAUACCGGGGCUCAACCCCGGAACUGCAUUGGAUACUGCAUUGCUAGAGUACUGGAGAGGGAACUGGAAUUUACGGUGUAGCAGUGAAAUGCGUAGAGAUCGUAAGGAAGACCAGUGGCGAAGGCGAGUUCCUGGACAGUUACUGACGCUGAGGCACGAAAGCGUGGGGAGCAAACAGG